Molecule: ribosomal RNA, 253 nt
Filed under: uncultured bacterium
Lineage: Bacteria
Description: partial 16S ribosomal RNA
Rfam family: Bacterial small subunit ribosomal RNA
Source: RNAcentral
UACGGAAUGUGCAAACGUUAUUCGGAAUCACUGGGCUUAAAGAGUCCGUAGGCGGCAUGUUAGGUGAGGUGUGAAAUCCCCCGGCUCAACCGAGGAAUUGCGCUUCAAACCGGCGUGCUAGAGGAAGAUAGAGGUGGGCGGAACUGAUGGUGGAGCGGUGAAAUGCGUUGAUAUCAUCAGGAACACCGGAGGCGAAGGCGGCCCACUGGGUCUUUUCUGACGCUGGGGGACGAAAGCUAGGGGAGCGAACGGG